AUUUACUUAAAAAUCACAAUCCAUAAUAUUGAAAACAGAUUUCAUCUGUUGAUUUGUACAGCUCGUAUGGUCUACAAGAAAUACGCAGUGUAUCAUCAGCCACUGUUUGCCAGCAGUACUGUGAAUCCAACACCCAGUGUGAAGGUUGGGUUUGGACAUGGCCAACUAAUACUGGAUAUGCAAAUAAUGUUUGUAUGUUGAGAAAAAACUCAAAUAUGUACUUUGGUACUUUAGGGCCUAAGAGUACAUCUGGGAUCAAAUCCAGCAUCAUUGUCUGGAACUAGAUUAUCAGUCUAACACUAGAUUAUCAGCUGCUGAAUUAGUAUCAUUGUCUGGAACUAAAUUAUCAGUUGCUGAAUCCAGCAUCAUUGUCUGGAACUAGAUUAUCAGCUGCUAAAUUCAGCAUUACUGUCUGGAACUAGAUUAUCAGCUGCUGAAUCAAGCAUCAAUGCCUGGAACUAGAUUAUCAGCUGCUGAAUCCAGCAUCAUUGUCUAGAAAUUGAUAAUCAGCUGCUGAAUCCAUCAUCGAUGUCUGGAACUAGAUUAUCAGCUGCUAAAUCCAGCAUCAUUUUUCUAAAACUAGAUUAUUAGCUGCUAAAUCCAGCACCAUUGCUUGGAACUAGAUUAUCAGCUGCUAAAUUCAGCAUUAUUUUCUGGAACUAGACUAUCAGCUGCUGAAUCCAGUAUCAUUGUCUGGAACUAGAUUAUCAGCUGCUGUUUCCAGCAUCAUUGUCUGGAACUAGAUUAUCAGCUGCUGCUGAACCCAGCAUCAUUGUCUGGAACUAGAUUAUCAGCUGCUUCAGAAACCAGCAUCAAUGUCUAGAACUAGAUUAUCAGCUGCUUCAGAAACCAGCAUCAAUGUCUAGAACUAGACUAUCAGCUAGAGAUAUUUUAUAUUAUUAUAUAAAACAAA
Long non-coding RNA from Eurytemora carolleeae, 913 nucleotides. RefSeq lists it as uncharacterized. The record is from RefSeq and is a predicted model, not a curated record. The transcript has 3 exons. NCBI's taxonomy places the organism in Eukaryota, Metazoa, Arthropoda, Copepoda, Calanoida, Temoridae.